AUGUUAGCGGCGGACGGGUGAGUAACACGUGGGUAACCUACCUAUAAGACUGGGAUAACUCCGGGAAACCGGGGCUAAUACCGGAUAAUAUUUUGAACCGCAUGGUUCAAUAGUGAAAGACGGUCUCGGCUGUCACUUAUAGAUGGACCCGCGCCGUAUUAGCUAGUUGGUAAGGUAACGGCUUACCAAGGCGACGAUACGUAGCCGACCUGAGAGGGUGAUCGGCCACACUGGAACUGAGACACGGUCCAGACUCCUACGGGAGGCAGCAGGG
Molecule: ribosomal RNA, 274 nt
Filed under: uncultured Staphylococcus sp.
Lineage: Bacteria; Bacillati; Bacillota; Bacilli; Caryophanales; Staphylococcaceae
Description: partial 16S ribosomal RNA
Rfam family: Bacterial small subunit ribosomal RNA
Source: RNAcentral